RNAcentral lists this unclassified non-coding RNA (278 nucleotides) under Chalara sp. RNAcentral describes it as "partial contains 5.8S ribosomal RNA, internal transcribed spacer 2, and large subunit ribosomal RNA". The stretch from base 1 to 71 matches the Rfam family "5.8S ribosomal RNA", at positions 84 to 154 of the family's 154-position model. Lineage: Eukaryota; Fungi; Ascomycota; Leotiomycetes; Helotiales. The record is from RNAcentral.
GUGAAUCAUCGAAUCUUUGAACGCACAUUGCGCCCCUUGGUAUUCCGGGGGGCAUGCCUGUUCGAGCGUCAUUACAACCCUCAAGCUAUGCUUGGUGUUGGGCCCUGCCGGCAACGGCUGGCCCUAAAAUCAGUGGCGGCGCCAUCGUGCUCUCAGCGUAGUAAUUCUUCUCGCUGUUGGGUCUCGGUGGACGCUGGCCAGCAACCCCCAAUUUUUCAGGUUGACCUCGGAUCAGGUAGGGAUACCCGCUGAACUUAAGCAUAUCAAUAAGCGGAGGA